This 682-nucleotide ribosomal RNA is filed under the name Erwinia sp. Its description in RNAcentral is "bacterial SSU rRNA". It matches the Rfam family "Bacterial small subunit ribosomal RNA", at positions 72 to 756 of the family's 1533-position model. Lineage: Bacteria; Pseudomonadati; Pseudomonadota; Gammaproteobacteria; Enterobacterales; Erwiniaceae. The record is from RNAcentral.
UUGCUCUCGGGUGACGAGUGGCGGACGGGUGAGUAAUGUCUGGGAAACUGCCUGAUGGAGGGGGAUAACUACUGGAAACGGUAGCUAAUACCGCAUAACGUCUUCGGACCAAAGUGGGGGACCUUCGGGCCUCACACCAUCGGAUGUGCCCAGAUGGGAUUAGCUAGUAGGUGGGGUAAUGGCUCACCUAGGCGACGAUCCCUAGCUGGUCUGAGAGGAUGACCAGCCACACUGGAACUGAGACACGGUCCAGACUCCUACGGGAGGCAGCAGUGGGGAAUAUUGCACAAUGGGCGCAAGCCUGAUGCAGCCAUGCCGCGUGUAUGAAGAAGGCCUUCGGGUUGUAAAGUACUUUCAGCGGGGAGGAAGGCGAUGAGGUUAAUAACCUUAUCGAUUGACGUUACCCGCAGAAGAAGCACCGGCUAACUCCGUGCCAGCAGCCGCGGUAAUACGGAGGGUGCAAGCGUUAAUCGGAAUUACUGGGCGUAAAGCGCACGCAGGCGGUCUGUCAAGUCAGAUGUGAAAUCCCCGGGCUUAACCUGGGAACUGCAUUUGAAACUGGCAGGCUAGAGUCUUGUAGAGGGGGGUAGAAUUCCAGGUGUAGCGGUGAAAUGCGUAGAGAUCUGGAGGAAUACCGGUGGCGAAGGCGGCCCCCUGGACAAAGACUGACGCUCAGGUGCGA